AUAUUUUUAAGAAAGCGAGGCAUCAAUUUUUAGUUGACGAUCAAUAAGUGAAUAAUUUGUGAUAUUGCACGGUACGGUUUUGGAUUCCCGUCGUCUUCUUCGUCUCUGGUUUACUCUCUCGUGUUCAACUCACAUGCAUACUCUUAAACCCUAAACCCUAAAACUCAGGACAGAUCUGGAAGAUAAAAGGCAUAGCUGCUGGACAGAGAUGCAUAUAUGAAGAUGAUCUUGAGGAAUCCAGGAGCAAUAUUGAGGUGUGAUUCGAAGUGCUUGUACAUAUUUACCAAUUCGAGGAAUUUGGUUUCUUUAUCUAAUGGCCCUUCUUCUUCUGAAUUGGGUGGGAAAUUCUCUUCGUUUAUGGAUAGGAAUAGUCAAGAAAACUGGAGAAGUAUUGACAGCGUAAAGAAAGAAGUGGAUGGUGUAUGCCGUAUUUUGGAAGGUGGUACUUGGGGACCCGAUGUUGAGAAUGCUUUGUCCAUGCUUGAUGAAAGUCCUAAACCAGAAUGUGUUAUUCGAGUCUUAAGGAGGCUGAAGGAUGUUAAUCAAGCAGUAAAUUAUUUUCGAUGGGCUGAGAAAAAAACUGACCAGGCACUAUGUCCAGAGGCAUACAAUUCACUUAUAAUGGUAAUGGCUAAAACGAGAAAGUUUGAAUAUUUCGAACAAAUUCUAGGAGAAAUGAGUAUCGCUGGAUUUGGCCCAUCGACUAACACGUGCAUUGAGUUAAUUUUGAGCUGUGUCAAGUCGCAGAAGCUCAGAGAAGCUUUCGAUCUUCUUCAAUGCAUGAGGAAAUUCAAAUUUCGCCCUGCAUUUUCAGCUUAUACGACUUUGAUUGGUGCUUUAGCUGGAGCUCAUGAGUCUGACCUUAUGCUUACUCUUUUUCAUCAAAUGCAGGAACUAGGUUAUGAAUUAAGUAUACAUUUGUUUACAACUGUGAUUCGUGUAUUUGCCAAGGAGGGUCGUCUUGAUGCUGCUCUCUCCUUGUUGGAUGAGAUGAGAAGCAAUUGUUUUGAUGCUGACAUUGUUCUAUAUAAUGUCUGUAUAGAUUGCUUUGGUAAGGUGGGUAAAGUGGAUAUGGCCUGGAAAUUCUUUCAUGAGAUGAAAGCAAAUGGUUUGUUGCCUGAUGACGUUACUUAUACCAGCAUGAUAGGUGUUCUUUGCAAAGCAAACCGACUGGAUGAAGCUGUGGAAAUAUUUGAGCAGAUGGAAGAAAACAGAAAAGUUCCUUGUGCGUAUGCUUACAACACAUUGAUUAUGGGUUAUGGAUCAGCUGGGAAGUUUGAUGAGGCAUAUGGUUUACUUGAGAGACAAAAGGCAAAGGGGUGCAUUCCAAGUGUGAUUGCAUACAAUUGCAUACUGACAUCCCUUGGGAGGAUGGGAAGAUUAGAGGAGGCAUCAAGAAUCUUUGAGGAGAUGAAGAAAGAUGCGGUUCCCAAUUAUGUAACAUAUAAUCUUCUAAUAGACAUGCUAUGCAAAGCAGGACAAGUUGAGGAUGCUUUCAAGGUUCGUGAUGCAAUGGGAAAAGCUGGUUUAUUUCCUAAUGUCAUGACUGUAAACAUAAUGAUUGACAGACUAUGUAAAGCUAACAAACUUGAUGAGGCCUGUUCUAUAUUUGAAGGAAUGGAUCAUAAUGUUUGCACACCAAAUGAGGUUACUUUCUGUUCGCUUAUAGAUGGUUUGGGCAAACAAGGUAGGUUAGAUGAUGCCUACAGGCUUUAUGAACAGAUGUUGGAUUCUGAUAGAAUCCCAAGUCCAAUUGUGUAUACAUCCCUCAUUAGAAACUUCUUCAGGUGUGGCCGGCAGGAGGAUGGUCACAAGAUAUACAAGGAAAUGCUCCGUGGAGGUUGUUCUCCUGAUCUCAUGCUUCUUAAUACCUACAUGGAUUGUGUUUUCAAAGCUGGUGAAACUGAGAAAGGAAGGGCUUUGUUUGAGGAAAUAAAAGCUCGAGGAUUCAUUCCAGAUGUUCGAAGUUAUUCUAUCCUAAUUCAUGGCCUAGUGAAGGCUGGUUUUGCACGUGAAACUUAUGAGUUGUUCUAUGCAAUGAAAGACCAGGGUUGUAUUCUGGACACCCGUGCUUACAACACUGUUAUUGAUGGGUUCUGCAAGUCAGGUAAGGUGAAUAAAGCUUAUCAGCUGCUGGAGGAAAUGAAAACAAAGGGCCACCAACCAACUGUAGUCACCUAUGGUUCUGUGAUUGAUGGGCUUGCCAAAAUUGAUAGGCUUGAUGAAGCAUACAUGCUCUUUGAAGAAGCCAAGUCUAAUGGCAUAGAGUUAAACGUUGUUAUCUAUAGCAGUCUCAUUGAUGGGUUUGGAAAAGUGGGUAGAAUUGAUGAGGCAUACCUAAUCAUGGAAGAGUUGAUGCAAAGAGGUUUAACACCCAAUGUCUACACAUGGAAUUGCUUGCUUGAUGCAUUGGUGAAAGCAGAGGAAACUAAUGAAGCCCUUGUCUGCUAUCAAUCCAUGAAAAACUUGAAAUGCACUCCCAAUCAUAUAACUUAUAGCAUUCUCAUAAAUGGUCUCUGCAGGAUUAGAAAAUUUAACAAGGCCUUUGUGUUUUGGCAAGAGAUGCAAAAGCAAGGGUUAAAACCCAAUACCAUUACUUACACUACUAUGAUUGCUGGACUUGCAAAGGCUGGAAACGUUUCAGAUGCUAAUUCACUUUUUGAAAGGUUUAAGGCAAAUGGGGGUGUGCCUGAUUCUGCAUGCUAUAAUGCUAUAAUAGAAGGAUUGAGUUAUGCAAACAGAGCAAUGGAGGCAUAUAAGCUUUUCGAGGAAACUCGGAUGAAAGGUUUUAAUAUACAUACCAAAACUUGUAUUGCUCUGGGGGAUGCACUGCAUACAGCUGGUUGUCUUGAACAGGCAGCAAUUGUGGGGGCUGUAUUAAGGGAAAUAGCAAAUUCUCAACAUGCUGCAAGAUCUUGGUAACAUCAUCAUGAUUUUAUCCGAUGCUAAGGCAUUUGAUAUCAUAAUCUGUUUCUCACUUUAUCAUUUACAUAUCCGUUUCCUCAGUGGGGCUAUAGUUGCUCUCUGCAAAGGUUAUGAAUUGAAGCUUCCUCUUUGCAAGCAUCUCUGCAAGUUAAAUUCAGCGGUCACAUACCUACAAAUGACAUCCUAGCUGGUAUAAGCUUGUAAGUCAAACUUACCAAUUUACCUCCAGAAAAUUAGUGCCAGGCGAGUACAAGGAUCUUACUCCCCAUCUGGGUGCAUGUGGAGUUUGGAUCUUCUUGUUUACUCCUGACAAAGGAUGCUUGCAAUGUGAUCAUGAAUUUUGUUUUUUCAUUUUCUUUUUCGCUUGCUUGUGGAAUUGCACCUGCUAUCAUGCUCAUGCAAAUGGUACGGGAUACUGGUUUUUGACAUUACUAUUUCUCAUACGGGCAUGGUACAAAGGAUGCUUUGGCAAGUUCGAUCAGUUCUCUGGCUUUCUGAUUCCAUUUUGUUGGAGUCAAUUGCCCUUCCCAUAGGUGCUCAAUAUGAAGCAGCCAAGGAUAUGGAGGAUUUGGAGCAACAGGAAAAUGAUUGUAGAAUAACUGAGGAUUUAAGGUUUGAUGUACAUUAUUUCACUGGACAUGCCCCCAAUUUUACAUGAUAAUUUUACAUGUGAUAUAUACAUUAUCAAUUAUUUUAUAAGACAAUCCGCUAUCCAUAAUUUUACAUGUGAUAUAUACAUUAUUAAGUAUCUUCCUCUAAUUAUAUUA
Molecule: RNA transcript, 3692 nt
Organism: Jatropha curcas
Lineage: Eukaryota; Viridiplantae; Streptophyta; Magnoliopsida; Malpighiales; Euphorbiaceae
Gene name: Tetratricopeptide repeat (TPR)-like superfamily protein
Source: RefSeq, a predicted model, not a curated record